RNAcentral lists this non-coding RNA (22 nucleotides) under Mus musculus (house mouse). The record is from RNAcentral. Lineage: Eukaryota; Metazoa; Chordata; Mammalia; Rodentia; Muridae.
UAGGCUAAGUGACAACAAGUGG